CUUGCACUGAGAAUACAGACCUCCAAGGAUUCCCCAGACUUGGAGCCAAAACAACCCACAUCAGAAUGUGAGACCAGUUUCAUAGUGAGGAAGACACUCCCCUGCAGAGGAUGUCCAGCUGUGUGAGCUUCCUCGCCUGAUCCACUCACG
Long non-coding RNA from Microtus oregoni (creeping vole), 150 nucleotides. RefSeq lists it as uncharacterized. The transcript is spliced from 3 exons. The record is from RefSeq and is a predicted model, not a curated record. NCBI's taxonomy places the organism in Eukaryota, Metazoa, Chordata, Mammalia, Rodentia, Cricetidae.